AAAAAUUCACGGUGGUGAAAUGGUGAAGGGUAACAGUGAAUUGCGAGUUCUCCCAGGGCGAGGCUCAUCCAUCAUCAUGCUGACCCCUGCGAUUUCCCCAAAUGCGGGAAACUCGACUGCAUAAUUUGUGGUAGUGGGGAACUGCGUUCGCGCUCUCCCCUG
Molecule: small nuclear RNA, 162 nt
Organism: Polypterus senegalus (gray bichir)
Lineage: Eukaryota; Metazoa; Chordata; Cladistia; Polypteriformes; Polypteridae
Product: U1 spliceosomal RNA
Exons: 1
Source: RefSeq, a predicted model, not a curated record